GUUGUUAGGUAGCUCCCUGGUGAUCGCUCCCAGGUUGUUGGGCAACUUCCUGGCGCACAUGUAUAGCCACAAUCGGGGCUGUUCCGAUCUAAUUAACACGAACGCUCCGCACAGCGUGAGUGCGAGAGUUUCCAUCCAAUAGAGAAAACUCACAUGGUAUCAGAGCGUUGAUCCAAUCUACCGAAAAAUCAAUCCCUUCCACCUUUCCCUGCCAUGGCGUCUUCCUCUAGUAAUACCGGCAAUUCCUUCCUAGGCCACCCCGUGAGUGAGAAACUUGGGAAGAACAACUACGCGUUAUGGAGAGUUUAGAUCAGCGCUGCAGUUCGUGGUGCUCGCCUCCAAGGGCACCUGACAGGCGCGACGAAGAAACCUCAAGCGCAGAUCGUCGUCACAAGCAGCGACGGCAAGACAACAGAGAAGAAAAACAAUCCGGAGUUUGAUGAUUGGGAGGCCUCGGAUCAACAGGUCCUUGGCUACCUCCUGUCGUCUCUCUCACGAGAUGUUCUCAUGCAAGUCGCGACGUGUGAAACUGCGGCAGAAGCAUGGACAAUCAUCGAGCAAAUGUUCUCGACGCAAACGAGGGCGCGUUGCAUCAACACAAGAUUCGCGCUCUCCAACACCAAGAAAGGCAAUCUCUCGCUCCCGGAGUUCUUCGGGAAGAUGAGAGCUCUAGGAGAUGAGAUGGCCACCGCAUCCGGCAAGCGGUUGACGAUGAGGAACUAAUCCAGUACAUCAUCACUGGGUUGGGCGAAGACUAAAGCGAAGUGAUCUCCGCCGUGUGCGCACGGCUAGAACCCAUGACGGUGGGUGACCUCUACAAUCAAGUCCUCAAUUUUGAGGCCCGCAGGUCUCUCUAUCGGGGGACUCAAGAAAACACCGUCAACGUCGCCAACAAAGGAGGUGGCCGCGGCAGCUUUCCUGGCCGCGGCGGAGGAGCUCCACGCGGCGGUCGUGCCUUUCCUAGCCGCGGCACAAGCAAUGGAGCGCGCGGUCGAGGACGCGCGCAAAGUGGGGCGGAUCGCAGACCGAUCUGUCAAGUUUGCUUCAAGAGGGGACACACCGCCGUAGAUUGCUGGUACAGGAGAACUGGAGAAACUCACUGUGAAUGACAAGUAUAAUGGGGGAGAACAGAUCCACACCGCCAGCGAAGCAGGUAUGGAUCUAAGUCAUAUUGGCAAUACUAUUGUUCAUACCCCUAGUAAUCGUGAUAUCCAUCUUAAAAAUGUUCUAUAUGUUCCACAAGCCAAAAGGAAUCUUAUAUCUGUACACCGUUUAGUUGAUGAUAAUUCUGCUUUUCUUGAACUUCACCGUGAUUAUUUCUUUCUUAAGGAUCUGGCAACCAAGAGAACUCUUCUUAAAGGAACAUCACACCGCAGGCUUUAUCCCCUUCCCAGGUCAUCCUUGAAGCAAGCCUGCAGUGCCACUAAGUUGUCCUUGACUCGAUAGCAUAGUCGUCUUGGGCAUCCCUCCUCCUCAGUCGUUAGACAAGUGGUCAAUAAGAAUAAUCUCCCAUGUUUAGAUUCUAUUAAUGAGUCAGUUUGUAAUGCUUGCCAACAAGCUAAGAGUCAUCAGUUACCUUUUCCUGUUUCAUCAAGUGUCUCUCAUUAUCCUUUGGAACUUAUUUUUUCUGAUGUUUAGGGCCCAGCUCCAGAGUCUGUAGGACGAAAGAAGUACUAUGUCAGUUUUAUUGAUGAUUUUAGCAAGUUUACUUAGAUUUAUCUCUUGCAAAAUAAAUCCCAAGUUUUUGAGAAAUUUAAAGAGUUCCAAGUUAUGGUAGAGCGCUUGUUUGAUAGAAAAAUUUUAGCCAUGCAAACUGACUGGGGAGGGGAGUACCAAGCUUUAAAUAAUUUCUUCUCCAAAAUUGGCAUUGUUCAUCAUGUGUCUUGCCCUCACACUCACCAACAAAAUGGGUCUGCUGAGCGCAAAUAUAGACAUAUUGUAGAAGUUGGUCUCUCCUUAUUAUCUCAUGCCACAAUGCCAUUAAAAUUUUGGGAUGAAGCCUUUCAAGCAGCAACCUAUUUGAUUAAUAGGGUUCCUAGCAGAGUUAUACAAAAUAUCAGUCCUUUGGAAAAAUUAUUCCAACAAAAACCUGAUUAUUCCUCUUUGCGUAUUUUUGGGUGUGCUUGUUGGCCCAAUUUACGUCCCUAUAAUAAGCACAAGUUGGAAUUCAUGUCUAAACGGUGUGUUUUCCUUGGUUUUAGCAAUAUGCACAAAGGAUUCAAAUGCCUAUAAAUUUCUUUAGGUCGGAUCUAUAUUUCUCGGGAUGUUGUUUUUGAUGAAACGGUAUUCCCUUUCUCUGAGCUUCAUGCAAAUGCAGGCGCUCGGCUUCGGUCUGAAAUACUCUUGUUUCCGUCUUUGUUUACUAGUGGGGAUGACAAUGUAUUACACCAUUUGACUAAUCCUAUAAAUCCUGCUGCUAAUGAGUUUGCUGAUGCAAAUAUUGAGAUUGAUACAGCACAUUCCGUGGCCACAGAAGAUCCCGCAGGGAUUGAUUUUGAUGCAGAUUCGGCAGAACAGGAGCCUGACACCUUCCUGUCGCCAGGGUCUGUUCACACGCAUUCGCCUGGACCUCACCAUUCAGGCGCUGACACGCGGCAGCAUCAGGAGACACAUGCUGGCGACAGAAUUAUUCUUCCAGGAACAGCUCGUCAGGAGGCACAGGGGGAGCAGCGGUCAUCUCCCUCCGCCGAUCUGUCCUCUGCUGAUCCAUCAUCAUCGCUGUCAGGAGAUAACACAGGAACAGGAGCUUGCACCGCAAGUCCGACCCAGAACAAGAUUACAAAGCGGCAUUUGGAAGGAGAAGAUAUAUACUGAUGGUACAGUUAAAGUACUCUUGUUUUACCAAUUCUGGAGAACCUAGUAAUCUAGUAAUGAUAUAGAGGCUCUUAAAGAUAAAAAUUGGAAAAAUGCUAUGGAAUCUGAAUAUGAUGCCUUAAUCAGAAAUAAUACCUGGCACUUAGUCCCACCUCAGAGAGGGAAGAAUGUCAUAGGAUGUAAGUGGGUCUAUAAAAUUAAAAGGAAAGCUGAUGGUUCUUUAGGUAUGUAAUAGAUUAUGAGGAUACUUUCAGUCUAGUGGUCAAGGCUGCUACAAUUAGAAUCAUUUUAUCUAUAGCUGUGUCUAGAGGUUGGAGCCUUAGACAGUUAGAUGUGCAAAAUGCUUUUCUUCAUGGUCAUCUAGAAGAAGAAGUUUAUAUGGACCAACCACCAGGAUUUGAGGAUGUCACUAAGCCACACUAUAUAUGCAAACUAGAUAAGUCCUUAUAUGGUUUGAAACAAGCUCCAAGAGCUUGGUUUGCCAGAUUAAGCAACAAACUGAUUGAUCUUGGGUUUAGUGCCUCAAAAGCUGACACAUCAUUAUUCUUUCUGCAUAAAGGAGAUAUUGCUAUUUUUAUCUUGGUAUAUGUAGAUGAUAUAAUUGUAGUAAGUUCCUCAGAGAGGGCAACAACAGCAUUGUUACAGGAUCUGAAGGUAGAAUUUGCUCUAAAAGAUCUUGGUGAGUUACACUAUUUUCUUGGCAUUGAGGUAAACAAGACACACAAUGGCAUUGUUCUUACUCAGGAUAAGUAUGCUACUGAUUUACUAAAGAAGGUAGGGAUGUUGAAUUGUAAACCUGCUACCACUCCUUUAUCUGUUAGUGAGAAGUUGUCUUUACAUGAGGGAUCUCUCUUAGGACCUAAUGAUGCAACACAGUAUAUAAGUAUAGUUGGUGCAUUACAGUAUUUAACUCUCACUAGGCCAGAUAUAGCUUUCUCUGUUAAUAAGGUGUGUUAGUUCCUUCAUGCUCCUACAACAGUGCAUUGGACAGCAGUAAAAAGAAUAUUGAGAUAUAUAAAACAGUGUACUAGUAUGGGGCUUAAUAUAGACAGGUCUGGGUCCACACUUGUGAGUGGAUUCUCAGAUGCAGAUUGGGCUGGCAGUGUAGAUGACAGAAAGUCCACUGGAGGUUUUGCUGUGUUCAUAGGCUCAAAUCUAGUGUCAUGGAAUGCUAGAAAACAAGCCACUGUCUCAAGGUCAAGUACAGAGUCAGAGUACAAAGCCAUAGCAAAUGCAACAGCAGAAAUAAUGUGGGUACAAACCUUAUUAGCAGAGUUGGGGAUCAAGAGUCCUCGAGCAGCAAAGAUUUGAUGUGAUAAUCUUGGAGCCAAAUACUUGUCAGCAAAUUCAGUUUUUCAUGCUAGAACAAAGCAUAUAGAGGUUGAUUAUCACUUUGUCAGAGAACGGGUGAGUCAGAAAUUACUAGAAAUUGAUUUUGUUUCUUCAGGUGAUCAAGUUGCAGAUGGGUUUACUAAACCGUUGUCAGUUCGACUACUGGAGAAUUUUAAAAGCAAUCUUAACCUUAAACGGUUAUGAUUGAGAGAGGGUGUUACACUACUUCUGAAGUCUAUCCUAUCCUCCACGUCAAUCACAUGCAACCACGUGCGAUCAUGAUCUGCAGGGGAAACUAUUCUAAUCCCUCGAGGGGAUGUUCCCUCGUUUGUUUAAAAACCAUCCAAACGGUUAUGAAAAAUUCUGGAAAAAUUUGACAACAUUCAUACAACACAUAUAUACAACUCUAUAAAAUCUUAAGUUCAAAUUCAACUCACACGUCGAGAUAUAAAAAAGACAAAUUCAGCAUAUGAAUAGUAGCGUACUGUUUAUAUCUAAAUUUGUCGUUUUUGUUUCUAGAUGUGUAGAUCGAGUUUGAACAUGAAUUUUGGUGGACUAGUAGGUAUCAUUAUACUCUACAUUAUUAAUUUUUUUCAGAUUUUUUUACAACUAUUUGUAUUGAAUUUGGAAGAAAAAUGUAUACGAGAGGAUAUCCCCUCGAGGGAUCAGAAUCCACUCCCUGAUCUGCAGUUAGAGAUAGAGUUCCUAUUAUCUAGUUAAUCUUGUUUUGCAUGCGAUGUAAUCUCUUCCAGGUUGUUAGGCAGCUCCCUGGUGAUCGCUCCCAGGUUGUUGGGCAACUUCCUGGCGCACAUGUAAAGCCACGAUCGGGGCUGUUCCGAUCUAAUUAACGCGAACGCUCCGCACAGCGUGAGUGCGAGAG
This is a non-coding RNA of Oryza sativa Japonica Group (Japanese rice), 5026 nucleotides long. The record is from RefSeq and is a predicted model, not a curated record. NCBI's taxonomy places the organism in Eukaryota, Viridiplantae, Streptophyta, Magnoliopsida, Poales, Poaceae.